RNAcentral lists this ribosomal RNA (253 nucleotides) under uncultured bacterium. RNAcentral describes it as "partial 16S ribosomal RNA". It matches the Rfam family "Bacterial small subunit ribosomal RNA", at positions 524 to 776 of the family's 1533-position model. The record is from RNAcentral.
UACGUAGGGACCGAGCGUUGUCCGGAUUCAUUGGGCGUAAAGAGCUCGUAGGCGGCCACUCAAGUCGAAUGUGAAACCUCGAGGCUUAACCUCGAGCCUGCAUUCGAUACUGGGCGGCUAGAGUCCGGUAGGGGACCAUGGAAUUCCUGGUGUAGCGGUGAAAUGCGCAGAUAUCAGGAGGAACACCGGUGGCGAAGGCGGUGGUCUGGGCCGGCACUGACGCUGAGGAGCGAAAGCGUGGGGAGCGAACAGG